Molecule: long non-coding RNA, 274 nt
Filed under: Malus domestica (apple)
Lineage: Eukaryota; Viridiplantae; Streptophyta; Magnoliopsida; Rosales; Rosaceae
Description: long non-coding RNA (MDOM_LNC000467)
Source: RNAcentral
CUCUGGCUUUCAAAAAAUAGGAACAUGCAUCAUUUGGUAGUCGACAAAAGUAAAAGUAUAAUCCUUUCCUUUCUCUUUUAGCUUUUGCUUUUGUUUCUGUUUCUCACUUUUCUCUUUUCUUUUUAUUUUCUCGAUCUGCUCAGUGCUCCCUCCGUUUGAACUUUGCACUUUACGAGUGGAUUGCCAUGAACCAUCAGAUUACACCCAUCACAUAAGAUAAUUGGAUCUGAUGGAUUUCCAUCUGGGCUCAGCACAAACAAUCCCAUCAUCAACA